This 495-nucleotide ribosomal RNA is filed under the name uncultured bacterium. RNAcentral's name for it is "partial 16S ribosomal RNA". It matches the Rfam family "Bacterial small subunit ribosomal RNA", at positions 28 to 523 of the family's 1533-position model. The record is from RNAcentral.
GAUGAACGCUGGCGGCGUGCCUAACACAUGCAAGUCGAACGAAGCACUUUAGCUUGAUUCUUCGGAUGAAGGCUAUUGUGACUGAGUGGCGGACGGGUGAGUAACGCGUGGGUAACCUGCCUCAUACAGGGGGAUAACAGUUAGAAAUGACUGCUAAUACCGCAUAAGACCACGGAGUCGCAUGACUCAGUGGGAAAAACUCUGGUGGUAUGAGAUGGACCCGCGUCUGAUUAGGUAGUUGGUGGGGUAACGGCCUACCAAGCCGACGAACAGUAGCCGACCUGAGAGGGUGACCGGCCACAUUGGGACUGAGACACGGCCCAAACUCCUACGGGAGGCAGCAGUGGGGAAUAUUGCACAAUGGGGGAAACCCUGAUGCAGCGACGCCGCGUGAGCGAAGAAGUAUUUCGGUAUGUAAAGCUCUAUCAGCAGGGAAGAAAAUGACGGUACCUGACUAAGAAGCACCGGCUAAAUACGUGCCAGCAGCCGCAGUAA